This 345-nucleotide unclassified non-coding RNA is filed under the name soil metagenome. RNAcentral describes it as "partial contains 5.8S ribosomal RNA, internal transcribed spacer 2, and large subunit ribosomal RNA". The stretch from base 1 to 121 matches the Rfam family "5.8S ribosomal RNA", at positions 35 to 154 of the family's 154-position model. The record is from RNAcentral.
GAUGAAGAACGUAGCGAAAUGCGAUAAGUAAUGCGAAUUGCAGAAUUUCCGUGAGUCAUCGAAUCUUUGAACGCACAUUGCGCCCACUGGUAUUCCGGUGGUCAUGCCUGUUCGAGCGUCAUUAUCCUCCCUCAAACCCCGGGUUUGGUGUUGGACCCAAGUUGUGUGAACAACUGGUCUCAAAGACAAUGACGGCGUCCGUGGGACCCUCGGUGCAACGAGCUUUUAGGAGCACGCAUCGAGUUGCAAGGACCUUCCGGGCCGGUCUCCUUUACCAUUUUACAAGGUUGACCUCGGAUCAGGUAGGAAUACCCGCUGAACUUAAGCAUAUCAAUAAGCGGAGGA